RNAcentral lists this long non-coding RNA (549 nucleotides) under Homo sapiens (human). Its description in RNAcentral is "long non-coding RNA NONHSAT155664". Lineage: Eukaryota; Metazoa; Chordata; Mammalia; Primates; Hominidae. The record is from RNAcentral.
CAUUUUGAAAAAUGUAAAUUGCUGCUCAAGUAGACAUUAUUGUGUGAAAUAGAACUAAAGAGACUAAAACUAAAUAAUGACAAUAGUUUGGUUUCCUGUCUAGGCUUAAUUGUUAGCUGAGAUAGUAGCUUCUGAACAUAGUCUCAUUUGUAGGUCCCAACGCCCUUUUGUUGAAAAGAGGCUGACAUAGAUCUCUCCAGGCUGGUUAACAUCUUCAUGUGCUUUAGGGCAUUGUGAGAACUAUGGGCCUACAUCAGGACAAACUUGAUUGAUUGAUUGGUUUUUUGGGUCAGAUCUUAAAAGUCUGGACUAGACAAACUGUAGAGCUGUCAUUCUUGUAUUUGUUUUGUGUUUUCAGGAAGCCCGAAAGAUGAGAUCAAUACAGGAAACCCUGGGAGAGUCUGGGAGUUUACUUCCAAAUAAAUUGAAUAAGUUGUUACAGAGGUUUCCUAACAAACCUUACCUCAGCUGAAAAUGGACAAGUAUUUUCAAUGACUGAAAUAUAGCUUCUGACAACUAUGCAGAGGCAUUUUAGAGACAUUGGCAUUG